RNAcentral lists this ribosomal RNA (495 nucleotides) under uncultured bacterium. RNAcentral's name for it is "partial 16S ribosomal RNA". It matches the Rfam family "Bacterial small subunit ribosomal RNA", at positions 29 to 506 of the family's 1533-position model. The record is from RNAcentral.
AUGAACGCUGGCGGCGUGCCUAAUACAUGCAAGUCGAGCGAACAGACGAGGAGCUUGCUCCUCUGACGUUAGCGGCGGACGGGUGAGUAACACGUGGAUAACCUACCUAUAAGACUGGGAUAACUUCGGGAAACCGGAGCUAAUACCGGAGAAUAUAUUGAACCGCAUGGUUCAAUAGUGAAAGACGGUUUUGCUGUCACUUAUAGAUGGAUCCGCGCCGCAUUAGCUAGUUGGUAAGGUAACGGCUUACCAAGGCAACGAUGCGUAGCCGACCUGAGAGGGUGAUCGGCACCACUGGACCUGAGACACGGUCCAGAUCCCUACGGGAGGCAGCAGUAGGGAAUCUUCCGAAAUGGGCGAAAGCCUGACGGAGCAACGCCGCGUGAGUGAUGAAGGUCUUCGGAUCGUAAAACUCUGUUAUUAGGGAAGAACAAAUGUGUAAGUAACUAUGCACGUCUUGACGGUACCUAAUCAGAAAGCCACGGCUAACUACGU